RNAcentral lists this long non-coding RNA (2139 nucleotides) under Aquilegia coerulea. Its description in RNAcentral is "long non-coding RNA (ACOE_LNC002267)". The record is from RNAcentral. Lineage: Eukaryota; Viridiplantae; Streptophyta; Magnoliopsida; Ranunculales; Ranunculaceae.
UUCUAUCCUUCCCAGAAUUGGUAUCAAAACUUCCACAAAUUGGUGUUCAGUGAUUAUAUAGGGGUUCCAUUCCUGCUAUUCUUGGACAAUUUUCCAGGUACGGUUUUCCAUCUCUGUUCUCUUAGUAGUAUUCCUUCUAUACAGUGAAAAUAAAUUUUAGUUUGGAUCUUACAUUUUCUUUUUAUUGACGACAGCCAUGGGUUGCGGACUGGGAUUUUUGAAGCAAGCAAGCUUGUGUUGAUUAAUUUUGGGGUGAUUUAGGUUUUGGUCACCACUUUUUAGUAUAAAUUAGGUUUUGGAGCCGGUUUUUUUCUUUAUUAUGGUUUAGAGCUCAUUUUCGAACCAACAACUAAAAAAACCCGGUUGAACCGAAAAUAUUUUCAAAAUACCUAAUUUUACCCCUGAAACUCACGUGAUCUGCACGUGAUCACUAACCCCAAUAUAGUUUUGAUCAGGGGUAUUUUGGCCAUUAUAAACAAUUACUUGGGUCAAUUGUCGGUUCAGCUCUAAACCCUAAUAAAGAAAAAAAACCGGCUCCAAAACCUAAUUUAUACUAAAAAGUGGUGACCAAAACCUAAAUCACCCUUAAUUUUGCUCCUACACUCAGCUAUUUAGGUGGCAUCUCAUUUUUGUUAUAUGUUUUUUUGAUCAAUUGUUUUCUAUGCAGUGUCUUUGCUUGAAGUUGUUUGUGUCUUGUUUGGCUCUGUUUAAAUGUCCUUAAUACGUUUUUGCAUCUCUUUCUGCUCUUUGCUAUAUUGUGAGUCUGUAAUUUCUUUGGAUGUAAGUCCCCCCCCCCCCCCCUCUUUAGGUAUAGGCUGUUUUAGAGCCGUGCUAAUCAGCUUCAGUUUUAUUCCUGCUCCGUUUGUUGAUUAAAAAUACUUAAAUUAGCUUGAACAAGCUAAAGCUUAGCCAAGUAGCUUGAUUCUUUUAGCUGUUCUGGUCCGACUUGUUAUUUAUUCAUAAACCCUGAUAGAACUAGCUUGAGUGAGCUAGAAAUCAGUUAAAUUCUGAGCCGAGCUUGAGUGUGGUAGUACCUGUUAUAUAGUGUGUUUAAAACUCUCUAAACAGGUGAUUGUUUUAUUCUAGUGAGACCAAGUUCAUAUCUUUCUGUUCCGAUAAGAGGUCUUUUAUGCAAAUUUACUGAGAACUAGUCUGGUUGUUUCUCCUUGUUUAAUUUGGUGAGUAGAAACUCAAUGAAAAAAAGCGCAUUCAAAAGCUUUAAUGUUAGUGCAUGCUGAAAACAACGUGAGAUUAUUAUGUAUGUUGCUCAUCUUUGGUUAUUUCGACUUGGACUACUAUAAUUGGGAUAUUUUUUUCCUGUCUAAAAAGACAGUGCAGGCAAUUCUGAUACAUAUUCACUAAUGCAAUUAUCAAUUUAGCAUUGACAUGCAGUUUGUGAUAUGUCAUUCUUCUUCAUUUAGAUUUUGAUAUGCAACAUGUUCAUUUGGACUUUAAGAUUUGAAAACAGAAAUAUGUAUCCGAGUUGCUUGUUUAACUUUGUGAGCAUUCAGAAUAACAACUUUAAUUUAGUGUUGACAGUAUGGUUUCAUUCUUUUAUAUUCAUUGUUGAUAUAUUCUUCAGCUAACAAAUUUCAGCAUGCAUCUUUCUCAGGAGUUUCUAUGUAAUAUGUUUUGGACCGGAGUUUGCUACUUUUUGGGAACUCUUAUUUUUUUUAUAGCAAAAUAAAUUUAAAAGUAGAUUUAUUAUGCAGGUUACAAGAUUGGUGAAACUGAGAACAAGUAAAGCAACACUAGCAAUUGGCCGGUGAUGGAAAAAAAAUUUUAGCAUGCUCAAAAAGGCGGACAUGGGAUCAGUGGCGUUAAAGUAAAGCAUGUAUUAUCUUUUAUCUUAAAUAGCUGAAGGCAACAAAAAUGUUCAUGCAUUCUUAUAAUUAUUGCUAUUAGUGCUUUUAGUCAGUAACUGCGCAUAUACAGGGUGCAAUUAUUUCUCUGCAGCAUCGGGAGGUCAAGAAGGUGUUGGAGAAUUGGCAGAGGCUUAAUAUAAGGGGGCUAGGAGUAGUAGCAUGGAAAAUUUUACAAGUUGCGGUCAUGUGUUGUAUUUGCAACUAACAAAAGCAAAGAUGAAGAUGAGGACAUUGAGUUGAAUAAAUCCGUUGCUGCUCCUGUAUUACUCAUGGA